This 506-nucleotide ribosomal RNA is filed under the name uncultured bacterium. RNAcentral's name for it is "partial 16S ribosomal RNA". It matches the Rfam family "Bacterial small subunit ribosomal RNA", at positions 28 to 523 of the family's 1533-position model. The record is from RNAcentral.
GAUGAACGCUAGCUACAGGCUUAACACAUGCAAGUCGAGGGGUAACAAGGGGAAAGCUUGCUUUCCUUGUUGACGACCGGCGCACGGGUGAGUAACGCGUAUCCAACCUGCCUAUAACUAGGGAAUAACCUUGCGAAAGUAAGACUAAUACCCUAUGAUUUCCUUUGAUGACAUCAGAUUAGGAAUAAAGAUUUAUCGGUUAUAGGUGGGGAUGCGUCUGAUUAGCUUGUUGGCGGGGUAACGGCCCACCAAGGCAACGAUCAGUAGGGGUUUUGAGAGGAAGGUCCCCCAAAUUGGAACUGAGACACGGUCCAAACUCCGACGGGAGGCAGCAGUGAGGAAUAUUGGUCGAUGGGCGGAAGCCUGAACCAGCCAAGUAGCGUGCAGGAUGACGGCCCUAUGGGUUGUAAACUGCUUUUAUACAGGAAUAAAGUUAGCCACGUGUGGUUAUUUGUAGGUACUGUAUGAAUAAGGACCGGCUAAUUCCGUGCCAGCAGCCGCGGUAA